Molecule: non-coding RNA, 289 nt
Organism: Paramuricea clavata
Lineage: Eukaryota; Metazoa; Cnidaria; Anthozoa; Malacalcyonacea; Plexauridae
Source: the annotation of a GenBank genome assembly
UUCGCUCUACAAAUAGAGUAUCGUGACAGAAAAAGUCAUGAUUACAAGUAAUUAUAUUUGUUUGGUAGUUGAGGAUAGAUCAUAAUUUGGAGAUUUAAUAAAAAAUAGGGCGAAAUAAUCGAGGAACUGAAAAUAAACGAAAGAAAAGAAUGCAGAAACCGUGGAGUAUGGUUAAUUUCGCAAGCCUCAAGCCUGUUACAAUAACUAUAAAGGUUGAUUUUUCUCAUCACAAUAAAUCUCCACUGCUAUAAAACAGUAAGCUUCUGUAAUUAGCAUGUUUCGGCUAUUA